Molecule: long non-coding RNA, 1909 nt
Filed under: Struthio camelus australis
Lineage: Eukaryota; Metazoa; Chordata; Aves; Struthioniformes; Struthionidae
Description: lncRNA (ENSSCUG00000001927.1)
Source: RNAcentral
AUGCUAGAGAGGAAAUGGGGAGUGGUGAGAAACAUCAGAGAGGAGGAGGGGACGGGGAAGGUUGGGGAGGAACUGGAGCUGCUCCUCGGUCGCAGAGCAUCGAUGCAGCCCCGGCAGUCCUGCAACAUUGGGGCACUGCUCUUUGGCCCCAUGGUCCUGUCUCUGGGACUCCUGCUCCAUGCUCAGCAAGCUGUCAGCCAGGAGCUCUGUGAAGCCCCAGGUCAUCUCCCAGCCCCCAGCAUCUUUCUGAGCCCCACAGCAGCCCGGCUGGGUGAAACUGUGCAGCUCCAGUGCACGGUGGACACCAGCGGCCACAUCAGCCGUAUCAUCUUCUGCCACAACGGGCAGGAGGCGAGUGCCAUGAAGGGUGAAAAAAAGAGCAUCUACAACCACUACGAGAGUGUGUCCGCAGCCAGUUCUGGCAACUACUCUUGUGGAUAUGAGAUCCGAGACAUCAUGAACCGGGUAACCCGAUCUCAGUUCAGCCCUGUGCAACAUCUGCACAUCCAAGGUGACAAGCCUGAAGGCACCCACACUGCUGCAGGGCCCAGCGAGGAGCCGACUCUGGCAGGCCAACGUUUCGUCCUCAGCCUGGGCAUUUCAGUUCCUUGUAUCCUGCUUCUGGCUGCACUGGGAUGCCUGAUAAUUAGGAAAGGGGCCAGAGCAAGCAGGAGGACACUCCAGAAGACGAAGUUCAAUAUGCCUCCAUCACUGUUGCACGAACUUCCAAGCCAGCUUGCCCACCAGAAGAUACGACAUCGACGUACGCAGCCAUUGCACCACGGAGGAACCAGUAUCAUUAAGGCAUGGCAAGGUGGUAUCAGGAGCACACGGGAGCUGGGAUCAUCGGUAGAAGGCCCUGGCUUGUCUGUGGUCCUCUGCCAGGCUCGUGCACCCAGCAACAUCCCUGUGCGUCUCCCCUGAAGGAGCAUUUCAUCCGCACCCACUUCCUGCUCCACUUUCUUCCUUCUUGUCCUUGCCUCCAUCCAUGAGCAAACUCCACAUCCUCUGCUCCAGUGAGAGGUUUCUCCACCAAUAUUUUGCAUACCUGAAUGAAAUCCUGAGAUGGGCUUAGAAAUCUCACUUUUUUUUUUUUUUAGGAUUUUUUUUGCAGCAUCUCCUUGACCUUACUGGCAUAUCGGCUAGAAGCAGUGAGACAUUUACAUCCAAAACAGAGAUGCUCACACAACCCUGUGCUAUCAGGCCCAGGCUAGAGGAAGGACAUCCAGUCUUGACAAUGUACAGCAAAAUUAGAAACUUCAGCAACACUCGGACUUAUUGCAUCGUGGCACUAUUGUUGACUGCCCUGUAACGCAGCUCUGCAGCUUUGGGGAUGCUGUUUAUUUUACAGGUCCCUUUUAACAAGUCUUCAUAGACAGCGUUGCCCAAUGUCCAUUGAUCCCAGCAGGAGCUUUGAGACCCCAUCCUACAUGCAGUCCCCAAAACUGAGGGCUCUUCUUUUCUGCAACUGAACCACCUCCCCUUGGGACUCUAUCCAGAGGAUGUAAACCCUGGAAAUAGCAGCUCUGCAAGGUGUUUGCAGGAGCUGCGCGCCCUUGGCAACACAACUGCUGUUAUUGCUUGGUGUGUGCCAAGCCCUCGUGGUCACGGCAGCUCCAGAGGGAUUGUGGGGACCGAUAUUGUUUGUCUCAGUCCAGCUGCAAAUUGCAGAGCGCUGGAUUUUCAUCCUCGGCAGGUCGAUUUAGUCUCUUGUCCUUGGGAUUCAUUUUUACCCGCUUGCUAGGAAGGGAAACACUGAUCUCAGCCUGCACUUUCCCCUCUCUCCAUUGCUAAACUUUCACUUUGGCCCAGGGAUUUCAUUUCCCUGUUUCUAUGACCAGAAACUUUGCCUGUGCAUGGCACAGUUGAAAAUCUUCAAUAAAAUCUGCUUUUAAUGAGGAAAACCCCA